Molecule: ribosomal RNA, 253 nt
Filed under: uncultured bacterium
Lineage: Bacteria
Description: partial 16S ribosomal RNA
Rfam family: Bacterial small subunit ribosomal RNA
Source: RNAcentral
GACGGAGGGUGCUAGCGUUGUUCGGAAUUACUGGGCGUAAAGGGCGCGUAGGCGGCCUGGUCAGUCGGGGGUGAAAGCCCGGGGAUCAACCCCGAAACGGCACCCGAGACGGUCAGGCUGGGGACCGGGAGAGGAGGGUGGAAUAGCCAGUGUAGAGGUGAAAUUCGUAGAUAUUGGCUGGAACACCGGUGGCGAAAGCGGCUCACAGGCCCGGUUCUGACGCUGAGGUGCGAAAGCGUGGGUAGCAAACAGG